AGGAGAAGGAGAAGAAGAGGAGGAGAAGAAGGAGAAGGGAUAACAGACUCUGACUUUACAGGAUCCGGGGACGACGACCAAGGGAGCCUGGGUGAAAGUGUGGAACCUCGUCCUGGAGCUUUACUCCUCUGGAUGUUAUGGCUGAAAUGGUUGCCGGGCUCCUCUUCCUGAAUUUAAAAUGUGAGUGUGUGACUGGAUUGUGAGGCAACACGAGGACACGGUCUCUGGCUCUGAGGAGUGAAGUGAGUUGUCAGUCUGCUGCGGCUGGAUGAGUCAACACUGGAUUCGAACCUGUGUAGAUCUGAGGCAGCAUCGUUUCUUCUGCUCAACAACUUGACUCACACUUGAAAACAAAUAAAAACCAUGUCAGAGAUGAAA
Non-coding RNA from Paralichthys olivaceus (Japanese flounder), 378 nucleotides. Lineage: Eukaryota; Metazoa; Chordata; Actinopteri; Pleuronectiformes; Paralichthyidae. The record is from RefSeq and is a predicted model, not a curated record.